This 162-nucleotide ribosomal RNA is filed under the name uncultured bacterium. Its description in RNAcentral is "partial 16S ribosomal RNA". It matches the Rfam family "Bacterial small subunit ribosomal RNA", at positions 1340 to 1500 of the family's 1533-position model. The record is from RNAcentral.
AAUCGUAGGUCAGCAUACUACGGUGAAUACUUCCCGGGCCUUGUACACACCGCCCGUCAAACCAUGAGAGUUGGCAACACCCGAAGUCGGUAGUCUAACCGCAAGGAGGACGCCGCCGAAGGUGGGGGUUGAUGAUUAGGGGUUAAGUCGUAACAAGGUACC